GCCGGAGUGGCCGAGCGGUUAAAGGCACUACAGUCUGGAACGCUGUGGUCGCAGGUUCGAAUCCUGCCUCGGGCA
RNAcentral lists this transfer RNA (75 nucleotides) under Schistocerca americana (American grasshopper). Its description in RNAcentral is "tRNA-Ser". It matches the Rfam family "tRNA". Rfam says of the family: Transfer RNA (tRNA) molecules are approximately 80 nucleotides in length. Their secondary structure includes four short double-helical elements and three loops (D, anti-codon, and T loops). Further hydrogen bonds mediate the characteristic L-shaped molecular structure. tRNAs have two regions of fundamental functional importance: the anti-codon, which is responsible for specific mRNA codon recognition, and the 3' end, to which the tRNAs corresponding amino acid is attached (by aminoacyl-tRNA synthetases). tRNAs cope with the degeneracy of the genetic code in two manners: having more than one tRNA (with a specific anti-codon) for a particular amino acid; and 'wobble' base-pairing, i.e. permitting non-standard base-pairing at the 3rd anti-codon position. The record is from RNAcentral. Lineage: Eukaryota; Metazoa; Arthropoda; Insecta; Orthoptera; Acrididae. RNAcentral also lists the same sequence under 1 other name.